GAUGAACGCUGGCGGCGUGCCUAAUACAUGCGAGUCGAGCGAACAGAUGAGGAGCUUGCUCCUCUGACGUUAGCGGCGGACGGGUGAGUAACACGUGGAUAACCUACCUAUAAGACUGGGAUAACUUCGGGAAACCGGAGCUAAUACCGGAUAAUAUAUUGAACCGCAUGGUUCAAUAGUGAAAGACGGUUUUGCUGUCACUUAUAGAUGGAUCCGCGCCGCAUUAGCUAGUUGGUAAGGUAACGGCUUACCAAGGCAACGAUGCGUAGCCGACCUGAGAGGGUGAGCGGCCACACUGGAACUGAGACACGCUCCAGACUACAGCGGGAGGCAGCAGGAGGGAAUGUUCCGAAAGGGGCGAAAGCCUGACGGAGUAUGGCCGUGUGAGUGAUAAAGUUCUUCGGUUCGUAAACCUCUUUUAUUGGGAAAGAAAAAAUGUGUAACUAACAAUGCCCGUCUUGACGGUACCGAAUCAGAAGGCCACAGCUAACUACGUG
RNAcentral lists this ribosomal RNA (497 nucleotides) under uncultured bacterium. RNAcentral describes it as "partial 16S ribosomal RNA". It matches the Rfam family "Bacterial small subunit ribosomal RNA", at positions 28 to 507 of the family's 1533-position model. The record is from RNAcentral.